Trichonephila clavipes is the source of this 97-nucleotide non-coding RNA. Lineage: Eukaryota; Metazoa; Arthropoda; Arachnida; Araneae; Nephilidae. The record is from the annotation of a GenBank genome assembly.
GCUGUAAACACGGGUUCUCGUCCGAUCACCGAAGUUAAGCACCAUCGGACACUACCAGUACUUAGAAGAUUGACCGCCUGAGAACUCCAUGUACAGU